Rhineura floridana is the source of this 617-nucleotide long non-coding RNA. RefSeq lists it as uncharacterized. The transcript is spliced from 3 exons. NCBI's taxonomy places the organism in Eukaryota, Metazoa, Chordata, Lepidosauria, Squamata, Rhineuridae. The record is from RefSeq and is a predicted model, not a curated record.
CCUCAAAGGCCUCCUUGUAUGCUUUGUUCAGUAUCUGAGGCCUUGCUCCAUGUGUCCCUGCUGAAUGAAGCUUGUGCUGGGGAAGGAAGGAUCCAACAUGAUCCAAUACAGAGGAGGAGACGGAAAGUAUAUUUAGGUGGUGAGUGCCAACAGAAAUACAGCCAAAACAGGACCUUGGGAAAACAAGAGACAGGUUACAGCAUGCAGGAAUCCCAAGAUCUGUAUUAGUACAAAAAAUUAGUACAAAAUUCUGAGAUCUUCAUUAGUACAAAAAUCUUCUUAAAAACCUAUGAUCUAAGUGGGCCAAAAAAAACACAACCUGGACAGCCCAAAGAGGACUGUGCAUGCUCAGCAGCCACAGAAUGGUGUUGGGAGAAAAGAAAUUGAACACCUGGCAAGAGAUGUGGAAUGCAGUACUUGGAGGAAAUUGCGGGUUCAAACCCUGAACAGGAGCACUGUUAGGAAGGAAGGUACAUUUUGACAUUUUGUUGCAAGCCCCACUUAUUUAAAACAUAAUUUUAUACAUGUAAAAAAGUUUUCAAAUGUGAAUCUGUGCAUACAGUGAUAUCCGUUUGCUACCUUGUUUUCUUAUGCUGGUUCUGAAUUUUCAUUUAUUU